RNAcentral lists this RNase P RNA (218 nucleotides) under Salmonella enterica. RNAcentral describes it as "partial RNase P RNA component class A". It matches the Rfam family "Bacterial RNase P class A", at positions 137 to 367 of the family's 367-position model. Rfam says of the family: Ribonuclease P (RNase P) is a ubiquitous endoribonuclease, found in archaea, bacteria and eukarya as well as chloroplasts and mitochondria. Its best characterised activity is the generation of mature 5'-ends of tRNAs by cleaving the 5'-leader elements of precursor-tRNAs. Cellular RNase Ps are ribonucleoproteins. RNAcentral also lists the same sequence under 2 other names. The record is from RNAcentral. Lineage: Bacteria; Pseudomonadati; Pseudomonadota; Gammaproteobacteria; Enterobacterales; Enterobacteriaceae.
AGUGGGAUCAGGUAAGGGUGAAAGGGUGCGGUAAGAGCGCACCGCGCGGCUGGUAACAGUCCGUGGCACGGUAAACUCCACCCGGAGCAAGGCCAAAUAGGGGUUCAUAAGGUACGGCCCGUACUGAACCCGGGUAGGCUGCUUGAGCCAGUGAGCGAUUGCUGGCCUAGAUGAAUGACUGUCCACGACAGAACCCGGCUUAUCGGUCAGUUUCACUU